GGAUGAGCCCGCGGCCUAUCAGCUUGUUGGUGGGGUGAUGGCCUACCAAGGGCGACGACGGGUAGCCGGCCUGAGAGGGUGACCGGCCACACUGGGACUGAGAUACGGCCCAGACUCCUACGGGAGGCAGCAGUGGGGAAUAUUGCACAAUGGGCGCAAGCCUGAUGCAGCGACGCCGCGUGAGGGAUGACGGCCUUCGGGUUGUAAACCUCUUUCAGCAGGGACGAAGCGCAAGUGACGGUACCUGUAGAAGAAGGACCGGCCAACUACGUGCCAGCAGCCGCGGUAAUACGUAGGGUCCGAGCGUUGUCCGGAAUUACUGGGCGUAAAGAGCUCGUAGGUGGUCUGUCGCGUUGUUCGUGAAAACUCACAGCUUAACUGUGGGCGUGCGGGCGAUACGGGCAGACUGGAGUACUGCAGGGGAGACUGGAAUUCCUGGUGUAGCGGUGGAAUGCGCAGAUAUCAGGAGGAACACCGGUGGCGAAAGCGGGGUCUCUGGGCAGUAACUGACGCUGAGGAGCGAAAGCGUGGGGAGCGAACAGGAUUAGAUACCCUGGUAGUCCACGCCGUAAACGGUGGGUACUAGGUGUGGGUUUCCUUCCUUGGGAUCCGUGCCGUAGCUAACGCAUUAAGUACCCCGCCUGGGGAGUACGGCCGCAAGGCUAAAACUCAAAGGAAUUGACGGGGGCCCGCACAAGCGGCGGAGCAUGUGGAUUAAUUCGAUGCAACGCGAAGAACCUUACCUGGGUUUGACAUGCACAGGACGCCGGCAGAGAUGUCGGUUCCCUUGUGGCCUGUGUGCAGGUGGUGCAUGGCUGUCGUCAGCUCGUGUCGUGAGAUGUUGGGUUAAGUCCCGCAACGAGCGCAACCCUUGUCUCAUGUUGCCAGCACGUUAUGGUGGGGACUCGUGAGAGACUGCCGGGGUCAACUCGGAGGAAGGUGGGGAUGACGUCAAGUCAUCAUGCCCCUUAUGUCCAGGGCUUCACACAUGCUACAAUGGCCGGUACAAAGGGCUGCGAUGCCGUGAGGUGGAGCGAAUCCUUUCAAAGCCGGUCUCAGUUCGGAUCGGGGUCUGCAACUCGACCCCGUGAAGUCGGAGUCGCUAGUAAUCGCAGAUCAGCAACGCUGCGGUGAAUACGUUCCCGGGCCUUGUACACACCGCCCGUCACGUCAUGAAAGUCGGUAACACCCGAAGCCGGUGGCCUAACCCGUUUGGGAGGGAGCCGUCGAAGGUGGGGCUGG
This 1242-nucleotide ribosomal RNA is filed under the name uncultured Actinomycetes bacterium. Its description in RNAcentral is "bacterial SSU rRNA". It matches the Rfam family "Bacterial small subunit ribosomal RNA", at positions 223 to 1471 of the family's 1533-position model. The record is from RNAcentral. Lineage: Bacteria; Bacillati; Actinomycetota; Actinomycetes.